GUUUACUUAAUAUAUUUAGUAUAUUUGACUUCCAAUCAAAAAGUUUGUCAAUCAAAGUAAAUA
RNAcentral lists this transfer RNA (63 nucleotides) under Ectobius sp. Z254C. RNAcentral describes it as "tRNA-Gly". Lineage: Eukaryota; Metazoa; Arthropoda; Insecta; Blattodea; Ectobiidae. The record is from RNAcentral.